Alosa sapidissima (American shad) is the source of this 78-nucleotide small nucleolar RNA. RefSeq annotates it as small nucleolar RNA SNORD111. The record is from RefSeq and is a predicted model, not a curated record. NCBI's taxonomy places the organism in Eukaryota, Metazoa, Chordata, Actinopteri, Clupeiformes, Clupeidae. The transcript has a single exon.
GCUGAUGAAGUGAUGAGUUUUCAUGUCUCUUCUCUGACUUGUGUUCAUGGAGAGAAUUUAAACACCUCUGAUCUCAGC